Molecule: transfer RNA, 90 nt
Filed under: uncultured Celerinatantimonas sp.
Lineage: Bacteria; Pseudomonadati; Pseudomonadota; Gammaproteobacteria; Celerinatantimonadaceae
Description: tRNA-Ser
Rfam family: tRNA
About the family: Transfer RNA (tRNA) molecules are approximately 80 nucleotides in length. Their secondary structure includes four short double-helical elements and three loops (D, anti-codon, and T loops).
Source: RNAcentral
GGAGAGGUGCCAGAGUGGCCGAAUGGGACGGUCUCGAAAACCGUUGUGGGAGAGAUCUCACCGAGGGUUCGAAUCCCUCUCUCUCCGCCA